RNAcentral lists this ribosomal RNA (253 nucleotides) under uncultured bacterium. RNAcentral's name for it is "partial 16S ribosomal RNA". It matches the Rfam family "Bacterial small subunit ribosomal RNA", at positions 524 to 776 of the family's 1533-position model. The record is from RNAcentral.
UACGGAGGUGGCGAGCGUUGUCCGAAGUUACUGGGCGUAAAGCGUGCGCAGGCGGUUUUGCAAGUCAGAUGUGAAAGCCCCGGGCUUAACCUGGGAAUGGCAUUUGGGACUGCAAGGCUUGAGUGCGGCAGAGGAGACUGGAAUUCCUGGUGUAGCAGUGAAAUGCGUAGAUAUCAGGAAGAACACCCGUGGCGAAGGCGGCUCUCUGGAACGCAACUGACGCUGAGACGCGAAAGCGUGGGGAGCAAACAGG